CAAAUUAGAGCUUGAGUUUAAGUAUUUCAUUUACAUUGAGGGGAUAUUAUAUUAAUAAUUAAUUUGA
This 67-nucleotide transfer RNA is filed under the name Cnethodonta grisescens. Its description in RNAcentral is "tRNA-Val". Lineage: Eukaryota; Metazoa; Arthropoda; Insecta; Lepidoptera; Notodontidae. The record is from RNAcentral.